UACGUAGGGCGCAAGCGUUAUCCGGAAUCAUUGGGUUUAAAGGGUCCGUAGGCGGUUUUGUAAGUCAGUGGUGAAAGCCCAUCGCUCAACGGUGGAACGGCCAUUGAUACUGCAAGACUUGAAUUAUUGUGAAGUAACUAGAAUAUGUAGUGUAGCGGUGAAAUGCUUAGAGAUUACAUGGAAUACCAAUUGCGAAGGCAGGUUACUAACAAUAUAUUGACGCUGAUGGACGAAAGCGUGGGUAGCGAACAGG
Molecule: ribosomal RNA, 253 nt
Filed under: uncultured bacterium
Lineage: Bacteria
Description: partial 16S ribosomal RNA
Rfam family: Bacterial small subunit ribosomal RNA
Source: RNAcentral